This 301-nucleotide ribosomal RNA is filed under the name uncultured bacterium. Its description in RNAcentral is "partial 16S ribosomal RNA". It matches the Rfam family "Bacterial small subunit ribosomal RNA", at positions 509 to 807 of the family's 1533-position model. The record is from RNAcentral.
CAGCCGCCACGGGAAUACGUAGGGUGCAAGCGUUAAUCGGAAUUACUGGGCGUAAAGCGUGCGCAGGCGGUUAUAUAAGACAGAUGUGAAAUCCCCGGGCUCAACCUGGGAACUGCAUUUGUGACUCUAUAGCUAGAGUACGGCAGAGGGGGAUGGAAUUCCGCGUGUAGCAGUGAAAUGCGUAGAUAUGCGGAGGAACACCGAUGGCGAAGGCAAUCCCCUGGGCCUGUACUGACGCUCAUGCACGAAAGCGUGGGGAGCAAACAGGAUUAGAUACCCCCGUAGUCCCUGUCUCUUAUAC